This 325-nucleotide long non-coding RNA is filed under the name Ananas comosus (pineapple). RNAcentral's name for it is "long non-coding RNA (ACOM_LNC009545)". Lineage: Eukaryota; Viridiplantae; Streptophyta; Magnoliopsida; Poales; Bromeliaceae. The record is from RNAcentral.
CAUCAAAAGUUUGUGACCAUCCCUACUUGUUAUCAAACAAAAUAGUUAGUAGUGCUUCUUCCAUUUCCUAACAGAAAAGAGAGUUUUCUUCGAUUUUCAGGUGAUGCAGCUCCAGAGCAUUUGCUGUUACAUGACAACUCUAUCAAGUAAGUUAAUUGUAACAUGCAGUUCAUACAUAAAGUGUAACAAGAAGAAAAGAAAGAAGUGCAUUACUUGGCUUUGUCUUGUUAUUACUGUUGAUGUUUACAACUUCUAUCGGCACAGAUCGAUCUUUCCGAUAGCACUUUAAUUUGAAGAGUUGGGUGAAGGUUAUGUAUCUUCUUGC